RNAcentral lists this long non-coding RNA (382 nucleotides) under Sorghum bicolor (sorghum). RNAcentral's name for it is "long non-coding RNA (SBIC_LNC005553)". The record is from RNAcentral. Lineage: Eukaryota; Viridiplantae; Streptophyta; Magnoliopsida; Poales; Poaceae.
CAAGAUCGUAGUGAUUCAACAUAACAAGUCACAUGUUACAUCCAUUUCACAAGUAGUUUGAUAUACAUCAGAGUUCAAGAUAGUUAUUACAACUUGAGUUGAAAAGUAGCGGAAGCAAAGUAAUUUGAAACUAAUAUUGCCCUUAUUUCAAAUACAUGCCAGUAUCCAGGUCAACUCCAACAAAAGCAACAUAGAUGGGGUAACUAAGAAGGAUCAUGCCCAUGAUCUUACUCCUCUAAUAUGGUAGGAGUCAUCCAACUCUUGCAGUAGCCAUGAUACAUCACAACCUGCAACAAGUGGGAAUAAACCCUGAGUACGAGAAGGUACUCAGCUAGACUUACCCGUCAUAAACCAGAAAUAAUAUGACACCAAGGAGUAUGCA